RNAcentral lists this ribosomal RNA (484 nucleotides) under uncultured bacterium. RNAcentral describes it as "partial 16S ribosomal RNA". It matches the Rfam family "Bacterial small subunit ribosomal RNA", at positions 30 to 507 of the family's 1533-position model. The record is from RNAcentral.
AUUGAACGCUGGCGGCAUGCUUUACACAUGCAAGUCGAACGGCAGCACGGGGGCAGCCCUGGUGGCGAGUGGCGAACGGGUGAGUAAUACAUCGGAACGUGCCCGGUCGUGGGGGAUAACGUAGCGAAAGUUACGCUAAUACCGCAUACGAUCUGAGGAUGAAAGCGGGGGACCUUCGGGCCUCGCGCGAUCGGAGCGGCCGAUGUCAGAUUAGGUAGUUGGUGGGGUAAAGGCCUACCAAGCCGACGAUCUGUAGCUGGUCUGAGAGGACGACCAGCCACACUGGGACUGAGACACGGCCCAGACUCCUACGGGAGGCAGCAGUGGGGAAUUUUGGACAAAGGGCGCAAGCCUGAUCCAGCCAUUCCGCGUGCAGGACGAAGGCCUUCGGGUUGUAAACUGCUUUUGUACGGAACGAAAAGGCUCUGGCUAAUACCUGGGGCUCAUGACGGUACCGUAAGAAUAAGCACCGGCUAACUACGUG